Molecule: ribosomal RNA, 465 nt
Filed under: Vreelandella stevensii
Lineage: Bacteria; Pseudomonadati; Pseudomonadota; Gammaproteobacteria; Oceanospirillales; Halomonadaceae
Description: partial 16S ribosomal RNA
Rfam family: Bacterial small subunit ribosomal RNA
Source: RNAcentral
CCUACGGGGGGCUGCAGUGGGGAAUAUUGGACAAUGGGCGAAAGCCUGAUCCAGCCAUGCCGCGUGUGUGAAGAAGGCCUUCGGGUUGUAAAGCACUUUCAGUGGGGAAGAAAGCCUUGGGGCUAAUACCCUCGAGGAAGGACAUCACCCACAGAAGAAGCACCGGCUAACUCCGUGCCAGCAGCCGCGGUAAUACGGAGGGUGCGAGCGUUAAUCGGAAUUACUGGGCGUAAAGCGCGCGUAGGCGGUCUGAUAAGCCGGUUGUGAAAGCCCCGGGCUCAACCUGGGAACGGCAUCCGGAACUGUCAGGCUAGAGCGCAGGAGAGGAAGGUAGAAUUCCCGGUGUAGCGGUGAAAUGCGUAGAGAUCGGGAGGAAUACCAGUGGCGAAGGCGGCCUUCUGGACUGACACUGACGCUGAGGUGCGAAAGCGUGGGUGGCAAACAGGAUUAGAUACCCCAGUAGUC